RNAcentral lists this non-coding RNA (240 nucleotides) under Chaetoceros curvisetus. Lineage: Eukaryota; Bacillariophyta; Thalassiosirophyceae; Chaetocerotales; Chaetocerotaceae. The record is from RNAcentral.
GUGUGGGGAAAGUAUUACUUUUCUCAGCAGGUAACCUGACUUCCAGUAUCUAGCUGGUAGUAUCCUGUUGUUUGUUGAAGUGAAAGGCGAAAGGCGAGCUAGCCAAGAAAACAGAAAACAAACGAAGAAGACGAAAGGUGAAAAAUGAGGACCAAAAAGAUCGAAUGGGUUAUGAGUUGUGUCAAAAACCAAUGACUCCCACACCAAAUCAAUAGGGAUAAUAAAAUAUGAGGUUUCCUU